Molecule: long non-coding RNA, 831 nt
Organism: Aedes albopictus (Asian tiger mosquito)
Lineage: Eukaryota; Metazoa; Arthropoda; Insecta; Diptera; Culicidae
Exons: 2
Source: RefSeq, a predicted model, not a curated record
CCGAACUGUCCGUUAACGAGAUGUUAGCUUGUCCGAGGUUUCCUAUCUGAGGGUCAAAAGAUUCUCGAUCACUUUUCCUGGAUAGUCGAGACGAUCACCAAGUGUUUCCUCCCGUGUUCCGCGAAAUUAAUCCAAAAUAGCUAGUUAGAUUCCAUGUGCCAAGUUAGUGCCAAAAAGCCAGUGUGGUUAAACCUUAGUGCAGUUAAGAAAGCAGAAAGGUAUUGAAGUCGUGCGUUAAUAGGUUGCGGUGUGCUCUAUAACCCCUUUUUCUCGAACAGCCGUUCGACGGCCUUUUUUCCUUGUGAUCUAGGAAACUACGUCGCUAGUUCGCCUCAGUGAUCGACUGUCCAGCAUAACGCCGGCCAACGCCGUUCUGUGGCCGAAGGGGCCGCGCCGUCAACAUCGCGCCCAAUCGCACCGUAGUGUCCGUGAACAACCGUUGACCGACCACGUGACCAAGAAUCGGUUGCUAAGCGAGUUUCGCUCGCCCUGGUAGGUGAAUUAACCACGUUCAACCCGCCUGCGUCCGUCUUUCGUCCACGCGGCUAAGAUUCACCAAGCUACACCAAGCCAAGCCAGCGAACAAUAGCACCGAGUGUCGCCAACCAACAAUAGCGGCGAUCGCCGCUGACCAUCUCGCCGUAUGAUGAGGGGAUCACCGUGUCAGCAGUAAAUGCGGUAUCUGUAAGUAGACAUGUGCACAUGUGAUGUCCAUAUGGGGAAUGCUAUAGCCUGGUAGUGAGGGGAAGAGCACGCACGCAUAGGUAGGAGCGAUAGGCCUAAUAGUGAAAUUUGAUGUCGUAGGAAUAAAUACCGAGAGUGUUAAGAUGA